Molecule: long non-coding RNA, 453 nt
Organism: Labrus mixtus (cuckoo wrasse)
Lineage: Eukaryota; Metazoa; Chordata; Actinopteri; Labriformes; Labridae
Exons: 2
Source: RefSeq, a predicted model, not a curated record
CUCCCAGAUGAAGAGUCCUCUCUGCCAUCACCCAGAGGAGCUGAUCGACAUCUUAAGAAGGUGGACAGAGUCUGGAGCUUUGUGAUAGUGAACAGUGAGAAGGCUACCAUAGUCAUCCUCAGAUAAAACACAGAGAUCCAGGUCAAUAUUUAAUUUAUUUUUCUUUCCAUGAUGUUGCCCUGUGUUUGACAGGCCAGAUGCUGGAGGGUUGUGUUGGAUUUGUUUUUCCAUCAUAGUUUAACAGUCAAACAAUCAUCCAGGAUCUUUAUACUUUAUUAGAUUUUUGUUUGGAUUUAUUUGUUAAAUUAUUUUUUAUACUUUCUCCUAUGUUCCAGCAGUUCAACCUGAUGGUCUCCCUUACUUAUUUUCCACAUGGUUAAUGAAGCCAGGGGUUGUUUAUUGAAGUUUUUUUUUUUUCAUAAAAUGUUUAAAUAAACUUUUUUUAAAUCUGAA